AACGCGAAGAACCUUACCUGGGCUAGACAACGGUGGACAACCCGCGAAAUCGGGCCUUCCCUUCGGGGACUGCCGGUUCAGGUGCUGCAUGGCUGUCGUCAGCUCGUGUCGUGAGAUGUUGGGUUAAGUCCCGCAACGAGCGCAACCCUCGUUCUAUGUUGCCAGCGGUUCGGCCGGGAACUCAUAGGAGACUGCCGGGGUCAACUCGGAGGAAGGUGGGGAUGACGUCAAGUCCUCAUGCCCCUUAUAUCUAGGGCUGCAAACAUGCUACAAUGGCCGGUACAGAGGGCUGCGAGACCGCAAGGUGGAGCGAAUCUCAAAAAGCCGGUCUCAGUUCGGAUUGGGGUCUGCAACUCGACCCCAUGAAGUCGGAGUCGCUAGUAAUCGCGAAUCAGCAACGUCGCGGUGAAUACGUUCCCGGGCCUUGUACACACCGACUGUAC
This 443-nucleotide ribosomal RNA is filed under the name uncultured bacterium. RNAcentral describes it as "bacterial SSU rRNA". It matches the Rfam family "Bacterial small subunit ribosomal RNA", at positions 958 to 1399 of the family's 1533-position model. The record is from RNAcentral.